This 254-nucleotide unclassified non-coding RNA is filed under the name Hevea brasiliensis (rubber tree). The record is from RNAcentral. Lineage: Eukaryota; Viridiplantae; Streptophyta; Magnoliopsida; Malpighiales; Euphorbiaceae.
UUGGCUAGACCAAAAUCUGAAAUUUUGGGAGUUAAGUCUUUGUCAAGGAGAAUAUUGCUUGCUUUGAUAUCUCUGUGAACAAUGUAUGGUCGUAAAUCCUCAUGAAGAAAGGCAAGCCCUCGUGCUACACCAAUGCAGAUUUUAGAUCGUGUUCUCCAACUAAACUGGAUGUUACUGUGACUUUCUUCUCCAAGAAGAGUUUGUGCAAGACUAUUAUUCUCAAGGUAGUUGUAGACUAAAAUUCUGUGAUUUCC